Molecule: ribosomal RNA, 2334 nt
Filed under: Triticum aestivum (bread wheat)
Lineage: Eukaryota; Viridiplantae; Streptophyta; Magnoliopsida; Poales; Poaceae
Description: partial small subunit ribosomal RNA
Source: RNAcentral
AUGUGGUUCCCGCUCUGCUUCGUCGUCGUCGUCGCUCUUCUGGUCGCUCCGGGAGGGUGCCAGGGCGACAAGGGGAGCCAGGUGUACGUGGUGUACAUGGGCGCCGUGCCGCCACGGACCUCGCCUGACUUCCUCCGCCAGAGCCACCUCCGCCUCGUCGGCACCAUUCUCAAGAGGGGAAAGCUGGCGCAGAGCGUAGUGGUGCAGCAGUACAAGCACGGCUUCUCAGGGUUCGCGGCGCGGCUGUCCAAGGACGAGGCCGCCGCGCUCAGGCACAAGCCCGGCGUCGUCUCCGUGUUCGCCGACCCCGUGUACCAGCUCCACACCACCAGGUCCUGGGACUUCCUGCAGCAGACGGACGUGAAGAUCGACUCGGCUAAGCGCCGCUCGCCCAGACCCACGGCGGCGUCGACGUCGGCGCCGACCACGGACACCAUCAUCGGCCUCCUGGACUCCGGCAUCUGGCCCGAGUCCCCCAGCUUCGACGACGCCGGCUUCGGACCCGUCCCCAGCAAGUGGAAGGGCGUCUGCAUGGCCGGCGACGACUUCAACACCUCCAACUGCAACAAGAAGUUGAUCGGAGCAAGAUACUACGAUCUCGGCGAGGUGGACGGCGGCCGGACCCGGAGCAGCGGCGGCUCGCCGCGAGACGCGGCGGGGCACGGGACGCACACGUCGUCCACGGCGGCCGGGAACGCGGUGACCGGCGCCUCGUACUACGGGCUGGCCCAGGGGACCGCCAAGGGGGGAUCCGCCGCGUCGAGGGUGGCCAUGUACCGCGUCUGCUCGGACGAAGGCUGCGCCGGGUCGGCCAUCCUCGCCGGCUUCGACGACGCCAUCGGCGACGGCGUGGACGUCAUCUCGGUCUCCCUCGGCGCGUCGCCCUACUUCUCUCCGGAUUUCUCCGAGGACCCGAUCGCCAUCGGCUCGUUUCACGCCGUGGCCAAGGGGGUCAUGGUGGUGUGCUCGGCGGGCAACGCCGGGCCGGAGGCGUCCACGGUGGUGAACGCGGCGCCGUGGAUCAUGACGGUCGCGGCCACGACCAUCGACCGCGACUUCGAGUCGGACGUCGUGUUGGGUGGGAAUAGCAGCGCUGUCAAGGGUGGGGCUAUAAACUUCUCCAACCUGGACAAAUCCCCGAAGUACCCGUUGAUCGCAGGUGCAUCAGCAAAGUCUAGUUCGGCUUCUAGCACUUCUGACUCAGCAAGUCACUGUGAGCCCGGCACCCUGGAUGCCGGCAAGAUCAAAGGCAAGAUCGUGCUGUGCAACCACUCGCAGAGCGACACGUCCAAGAUGGUGAAGGCCGACGAGCUCCAGAGCGCCGGGGCGGUGGGAUGCAUCCUGGUGAACGACUUCGGGAGGGCGGUCACCACCGCCUACCUCGACUUCCCCGUCACGGAGGUCACCUCCGCCGCCGCGGCCGACCUUCACAAGUACAUUGCCUCCACAAGCGAGCCCGUGGCGACGAUCACGCCAACGAUCACCGUGACGGAGUACAAGCCGGCGCCCGUCGUGGCCUACUUCUCCUCUAGGGGCCCGUCAUCGCAAACCGGCAACAUCCUCAAGCCGGACGUGGCUGCGCCGGGGGUGAACAUCCUCGCGUCGUGGAUCCCAACGACGUCACUUCCGGCCGGCCAGAAGCAGCCGUCGCAGUUCAACCUCGUCUCCGGGACGUCCAUGGCCUGCCCCCACGUCGCCGGGGCCGCGGCCACCGUCAAGGCCUGGAACCCGACGUGGAGCCCGGCGGCCAUCCGGUCAGCCAUCAUGACAGCAGCAACUCAGCUGAACAACGACAAGGCUCCGAUGACGACGGACGCGGGGACGGCGGCGACGCCGUUCGACUACGGCGCGGGGCAGGUGAACCCGACCGGCGCGCUGGACCCCGGGCUGGUGUACGACCUCGCGGCGGACGACUACCUGAGCUUCCUCUGCAACUACGGCUACGGCGCGUCCCAGAUCAAGCUCAUCACCUCCCCUCCGGCCGCCUUCAGCUGCGCCGGCAACGCGAGCAAGGAUCUCAUCUCCGACCUCAACUACCCGUCGAUCGCCGUCACGGGGCUCGGCGCCGGCGCCAGCAGGACAGUGACCCGUGAGGUCACCAACGUCGGAGCGCAGGAAGACGCCACCUAUACCGUCGCCGUCAGCGCGCCGGCCGGUCUGGAUGUGAAGGUCGUGCCCAGCAAGCUCCAGUUCACCAGCAGCGUGAAGAAGCUGGCUUUCCAGGUCACCUUCUCAGGCAAGAACACAGGGGCCAAGGCCGCCCUGACAGGAUCCAUAACAUGGUCAGAUGGGAAACAUACAGUCCAUAGCCCAUUCGCAGUCAGCAGCAGCUGA